AACGAACGCUGGCGGCAGGCUUAACACAUGCAAGUCGAACGCCCCGCAAGGGGAGUGGCAGACGGGUGAGUAACGCGUGGGAAUCUACCCAGUUCUACGGAACAACUGAGGGAAACUUCAGCUAAUACCGUAUACGCCCUACGGGGGAAAGAUUUAUCGGAAUUGGAUGAGCCCGCGUAAGAUUAGCUAGUUGGUGGGGUAAUGGCCUACCAAGGCGACGAUCUUUAGCUGGUCUGAGAGGAUGAUCAGCCACACUGGGACUGAGACACGGCCCAGACUCCUACGGGAGGCAGCAGUGGGGAAUAUUGGACAAUGGGCGCAAGCCUGAUCCAGCCAUGCCGCGUGAGUGAUGAAGGCCUUAGGGUUGUAAAGCUCUUUCAGUGGGGACGAUAAUGACGGUACCCACAGAAGAAGCCCCGGCUAACUUCGUGCCAGCAGCCGCGGUAAUACGAAGGGGGCUAGCGUUGUUCGGAUUUACUGGGCGUAAAGCGCACGUAGGCGGAUCGUUAAGUCGGGGGUGAAAUCCUGGAGCUCAACUCCAGAACUGCCUUCGAUACUGGCGAUCUUGAGUCCGGAAGAGGUGAGUGGAACUCCUAGUGUAGAGGUGGAAUUCGUAGAUAUUAGGAAGAACACCAGUGGCGAAGGCGGCUCACUGGUCC
RNAcentral lists this ribosomal RNA (659 nucleotides) under Devosia insulae. Its description in RNAcentral is "bacterial SSU rRNA". It matches the Rfam family "Bacterial small subunit ribosomal RNA", at positions 28 to 735 of the family's 1533-position model. The record is from RNAcentral. Lineage: Bacteria; Pseudomonadati; Pseudomonadota; Alphaproteobacteria; Hyphomicrobiales; Devosiaceae.